GCCGGAGUGGCGGAAUUGGCAGACGCGCCGGACUCAAAAUCCGGUGGGCUUCGGCCCUUGAGGGUUCGAGUCCCUCCUCCGGCA
RNAcentral lists this transfer RNA (84 nucleotides) under Gemmatimonadota bacterium. RNAcentral's name for it is "Gemmatimonadetes bacterium (sponge metagenome) tRNA-Leu". It matches the Rfam family "tRNA". Rfam says of the family: Transfer RNA (tRNA) molecules are approximately 80 nucleotides in length. Their secondary structure includes four short double-helical elements and three loops (D, anti-codon, and T loops). The record is from RNAcentral. Lineage: Bacteria; Pseudomonadati; Gemmatimonadota.